RNAcentral lists this ribosomal RNA (247 nucleotides) under uncultured bacterium. RNAcentral describes it as "partial small subunit ribosomal RNA". It matches the Rfam family "Bacterial small subunit ribosomal RNA", at positions 26 to 287 of the family's 1533-position model. The record is from RNAcentral.
AGAAUCAACGCUGGCGGCGUGCCUAACACAUGCAAGUCGAACGAGAAAGUGGAGCAAUCCACGAGUAAAGUGGCGCACGGGUGAGUAACACGUGACUAACCUACCCUUGAGUGGGGAAUAACUGAGGGAAACCUUAGCUAAUACCGCAUAACACCUACGGGUCAAAGGAGCAAUCCGUUUGAGGAGGGGGUCGCGGCAGAUUAGUUAGUUGGCGGGGUAAUGGCCCACCAAGACGAUGAUCUGUAUC